AAAGCGGUGAGUCGUUAAGGUCUAUCUUGCGAGUCUUCCCUCGGAAGAAGCCUCUCUCGUUCACCGCUUCCGUUUGCGGCUUAUAAGAGGCGGCCGUUUGGUCUCCAUCCGAUAAUCCAACAAUGGAGCCGGCCGAAUCUUCUCGCAGCAAAGAAGACUCCGACGUCUGGGCCAAACUAGUGCCCACUGAUUCCACGUAUCCCCCGAUAGAGAUAAGAUCGCGGGAGGCCGUCAUAUGUUCGGAGAUUACGAGCUCGUCGAUUGAGAAGCAUCCAUGGUGCGAGAUAAAGUGGAAUCCGGACAAAGAUUCGGCGAUGAUUAGAAACUUGAGUUCAAAUGUCAUCAUCAUUGAUGGGAAAGUUGUUGGAGAAGAAACAGUGAACAUUAUAAGUGGCAGUGAAAUCACUUCAGGACCUGAUAGAGAAGUAUUCUUGACCUAUAUUUUUGAGGCAAUGCCUUCUCACAGAAACAAUGAAAAAAUAAUAGAGAUAUCAUUAGAUGUCGAGCAUGCAAAAUGCAGCAUAUGCUUAAACAUAUGGCAUGAUGUUGUGACAGUUGCUCCUUGUCUCCAUAACUUCUGUAAUGGGUGCUUCUCAGAAUGGUUAAGAAGGUCAUCUACCAAGUUCAACAAUAGAGCACAAAGUGUUGUAUGUCCACAAUGCAGAGCAGUUGUAUUUUCAGUUGGAAGAAAUCAUUUUUUGCAUAAUAUUGAAGAGGCUAUCUUGCAAACAUUUUCGUCUCUAAAGCGUUCCGAUGAAGAAAUUGCUUUAUUGAAUACUUAUGCUUCAAUUAAGUCUAAUAUUGUUGUGGGCAUGCACACAUCUAGAAAGAGGCCACACUCACUUUCUAAUGAUGACAGCAACGAAAUUGCGCUUCCAUGUCCUCAAUGUGGAAAUGAACUUGGUGGAUUUAGAUGCAACAGAACUACCACUCACUUGCACUGUCAAGGAUGUGGUGGAAUGAUGCCUUUUAGAUCUGAUUCUGUUGUACCACAAAAGUGCUUAGGAUGCGAUAGAGCAUUCUGUGGGGCUUACUGGGCUGCUCAAGGUGUAGAUGCAAGGGAAUUCAACAUGAUUUGCCAUCACGAAACAUUCAAACCUGUCUCAGAGCGUACAAUUUCAAGAAUUCCUGAGUUGGUUCACCAGAAUAAUCAAUUUGAAAGAGAUAUCACAGAAAGGUGUAUACAGCGAACAGGGAAGACACUGCAGGCUGUCAUCUCAGAUUGGAUCAUAAAGUUUGACAAUAAAGAACUUGGUAAUGUUCCAUUUGCAUGAUAGAACAAACCUGCAAUUGAAUCAUGUGGAGAUGAUCACUCCCAUGACACACCUUUGCAAGUCAAGAAAUCUCAGUGGAGCCAGUGACCAUUGUAUCUGCUUUCAAGAUAGAAGCAUAGCUUAGUUGUGGAUAAUCCAUGCAUAUUAGACACACAGAGAGAGUGUAUCAGAUUCUGAAUUCUGAAGUCCUGCCUAUCUUGAUAGAUUGUAUAUUGGUCACAAUCUUUCUGCAUGUACACAGAUCCUGCCAAUCAGGGAUUGAUGGUGUAGGGUAGUUAAGAAUCUAACCUUUAGUAAAAAUUUCAUUUGAAUUCUUGUCGGCUGGCGGGAAGAUUUAUCAUGCUUGAUUAUCUUUUACAAUGCAAUCAUACAAUAUCAUUUUUGUGUUUACUAAGAAUUGGCCAGUGUGAGUGGAUAAUUCUCUUUCCACUUGACAAAAGAGGAGCCGGAAGUGGGGAACUGUAUUGCCUGAAUCUUGAUCAAAGGAAUCUUAAGAGAGGUGAUUGGUGGUGAACAGUGGUCAGUAGAGGGAUUUGAAUAAAAGUCAAAAAAUGAAAGGCCCAGCUGCGUAACAUCAAAGCAUUUUUUAGUACUUGCAGACUUACACCACAUGGGACUCAUUUUUUUCGAACCUUGGCUGUACUUUGGCAAUAAAGCAAGUAGCUUGUUUGACUAACAAGUGAUAUUAAGAGAUGUCUUUUUUAUUAGAUCACACAUUUAUUGACGAUUGAUGGCUCUAGUAGGACCGUAAGUUAGUGAUAUCAAGAGAUGUCAUUUUUUAUGAGAUCACAGAUUUAUUGAAGAUUGACGGCUCUAAUAGGACCUUCUUCCAAUUCGUUUAUCGCCUGAUGAAAUGCAUUGCCCCAAACUUUUAGUCAUGCUGCUUAAUAAAUAUAAUGCUACUUAAUCAAUAUAAUACACUUUUAAACAAUCUAAAUAUAGUUUUUUUUGUUUUGUUUAUGUUACUAUAUGGAAACAGUUGUCAGUUUUAUGUUAAACCUGGAUGAAGCUGUUAAAUGUGUUACAUAUGAGCUCAGUCUAUGUUUUCAGCUCUUCAUUCUCUGCUCAAACUGAAUUCUGUUUGAGAAAAUAGUUCAAUUGAUUAUUGGCAUACUUAUGUUCUGGUUUGGCACAAACUUGUUUCAAGGGUCUUUUUCAUUAGCAAGGGAUUUGAAGGGAAAGGGAACAUGUUCGAGGGGUAUUUAUAGUUUGUUGACAUUUAAGGGUGAGAUGAUGAGGUUACUUGUGGGCUACUUCUAAAAUUUUCCAUGACCCUCAAAUUACUUUACAGAUGAAAAA
Molecule: RNA transcript, 2573 nt
Organism: Musa acuminata AAA Group (dessert banana)
Lineage: Eukaryota; Viridiplantae; Streptophyta; Magnoliopsida; Zingiberales; Musaceae
Exons: 14
Source: RefSeq, a predicted model, not a curated record